This 545-nucleotide ribosomal RNA is filed under the name uncultured Glomus. RNAcentral's name for it is "partial 18S ribosomal RNA". Lineage: Eukaryota; Fungi; Glomeromycota; Glomeromycetes; Glomerales; Glomeraceae. The record is from RNAcentral.
UUUCCCGUAAGGCGCCGAAUGAGUCAUUAAUAUUAACAUCAUCCGAUCCCUAGUCGGCAUAGUUUAUGGUUAAGACUACGACGGUAUCUGAUCGUCUUCGAUCCCCUAACUUUCGUUCUUGAUUAAUGAAAACAUCCUUGGCAAAUGCUUUCGCAGUAGUUAGUCUUCAAUAAAUCCAAGAAUUUCACCUCUGACAAUUGAAUACUAAUGCCCCCAACUAUCCCUAUUAAUCAUUACGUCGAUCCUAGAAACCAACAAAAUAAAAUCAAACGUCCUAUUUCGUUAUUCCAUGCUAAUGUAUUCAAGCGUGAGCCUGCUUUAAACACUCUAAUUUUUUCAAAGUAACAGUCCUGAUUCCCUAUAACACCAAAUUAAUGGCAUUGUAGUUCGUCAGAAAAGAGAAACCGAUUAUACCAGUACGUACAAAAGCACGACCAGUAAACCGGUCUCGAAAUUCAACUACGAGCUUUUUAACUGCAACAACUUUAAUAUACGCUAUUGGAGCUGGAAUUACCGCGGCUGCUGGCACCAGACUUGCCCUCCAA